This 73-nucleotide transfer RNA is filed under the name Myxococcales bacterium LLY-WYZ-16_1. Its description in RNAcentral is "tRNA-His". It matches the Rfam family "tRNA". From Rfam's summary of the family: Transfer RNA (tRNA) molecules are approximately 80 nucleotides in length. Their secondary structure includes four short double-helical elements and three loops (D, anti-codon, and T loops). Further hydrogen bonds mediate the characteristic L-shaped molecular structure. tRNAs have two regions of fundamental functional importance: the anti-codon, which is responsible for specific mRNA codon recognition, and the 3' end, to which the tRNAs corresponding amino acid is attached (by aminoacyl-tRNA synthetases). tRNAs cope with the degeneracy of the genetic code in two manners: having more than one tRNA (with a specific anti-codon) for a particular amino acid; and 'wobble' base-pairing, i.e. permitting non-standard base-pairing at the 3rd anti-codon position. Lineage: Bacteria; Pseudomonadati; Myxococcota; Myxococcia; Myxococcales. The record is from RNAcentral.
GUGGCCAUAGCUCAGUUGGUAGAGCGGUGGAUUGUGGAUCCAUAGGUCGCGGGUUCAAGCCCCGUUGGUCACC